UAAGGAAUAUUGCGCAAUGGGCGACAGCCUGACGCAGCGACGCCGCGUGGGGGAUGAAGGUCUUCGGAUUGUAAACCCCUUUCGGCAGGGAAGAUGGAACGGGUAACCGUUCGGACGGUACCUGCAGAAGCAGCCACGGCUAACUUCGUGCCAGCAGCCGCGGUAAUACGAAGGUGGCAAGCGUUGUUCGGAUUUACUGGGCGUACAGGGAGCGUAGGCGGUUGGGUAAGCCCUCCGUGAAAUCUCCGGGCCUAACCCGGAAAGUGCGGAGGGGACUGCUCGGCUAGAGGAUGGGAGAGGAGCGCGGAAUUCCCGGUGUAGCGGUGAAAUGCGUAGAGAUCGGGAGGAAGGCCGGUGGCGAAGGCGGCGCUCUGGAACAUUUCUGACGCUGAGGUGCGAAAGCGUGGGGAGCAAACAGGAUUAGAUACCCCCGUAGUCCCUGAGCGGGCUGGCAAGGCGCAU
This 462-nucleotide ribosomal RNA is filed under the name uncultured bacterium. RNAcentral's name for it is "bacterial SSU rRNA". It matches the Rfam family "Bacterial small subunit ribosomal RNA", at positions 355 to 825 of the family's 1533-position model. The record is from RNAcentral.